ACCGAAGCCUGUAACCGCCUCCGGGCGUGACGGGUGGCUGGUAUCCUCCUUCUGAGGGGUGUAUGUUGCAGCUUGGGCCGGCCCUUAGGGGUCGCGAAUCCCCAAGACUGCGGCGGACCAUCCCUUGGGCAACUCAGUGGGGGCAAUUGGAUGGCUCGUAGGCAUCUUCGGCGGCUUCGGCCCUGGAGGUGGCUCGGGCCGGGUGCUGGGCUUCGGUUCACGUCCCGACCUUUUAACUAGCUCUGAUACCUCUUCAUUGAGGGCUGCCGGGGAGGUCUUUCGCUCCUCGAGGCGGAAGGCCUACCCGGGGGAAGAUAGUUACCUGGUUGAUUCUGCCAGUAGUCAUAUGCUUGUCUCAA
This 359-nucleotide unclassified non-coding RNA is filed under the name Cladonia isabellina. RNAcentral's name for it is "partial 28S-18S ribosomal RNA intergenic spacer". The record is from RNAcentral. Lineage: Eukaryota; Fungi; Ascomycota; Lecanoromycetes; Lecanorales; Cladoniaceae.